UGGGCCAUAGCCAAGCGGUAAGGCAUCGGUUUUUGAUAUCGACAUCCCUGGUUCGAAUCCAGGUGGCCCAGCCA
Molecule: transfer RNA, 74 nt
Filed under: Alphaproteobacteria bacterium
Lineage: Bacteria; Pseudomonadati; Pseudomonadota; Alphaproteobacteria
Also listed under: 1 other name
Description: tRNA-Gln
Rfam family: tRNA
About the family: Transfer RNA (tRNA) molecules are approximately 80 nucleotides in length. Their secondary structure includes four short double-helical elements and three loops (D, anti-codon, and T loops). Further hydrogen bonds mediate the characteristic L-shaped molecular structure. tRNAs have two regions of fundamental functional importance: the anti-codon, which is responsible for specific mRNA codon recognition, and the 3' end, to which the tRNAs corresponding amino acid is attached (by aminoacyl-tRNA synthetases). tRNAs cope with the degeneracy of the genetic code in two manners: having more than one tRNA (with a specific anti-codon) for a particular amino acid; and 'wobble' base-pairing, i.e. permitting non-standard base-pairing at the 3rd anti-codon position.
Source: RNAcentral